AGUGAACGCUGGCGGUAGGCCUAACACAUGCAAGUCGAACGGCAGCACAGUAAGAGCUUGCUCUUACGGGUGGCGAGUGGCGGACUGGUGAGGAAUACAUCGGAAUCUACUUUUUCGUGGGGGAUAACGUAGGGAAACUUACGCUAAUACCGCAUACGACCUACGGGUGAAAGCAGGGGAUCUUCGGACCUUGCGCGAUUGAAUGAGCCGAUGUCGGAUUAGCUAGUUGGCGGGGUAAAGGCCCACCAAGGCGACGAUCCGUAGCUGGUCUGAGAGGAUGAUCAGACACACUGGAACUGAGACACGGUACAGACUCCGACGGGAGGCAGCAGUGGGGAAUAUUAGACAAUGGGCGCAAGCCUGAUACAGCCAUACCGCGUGGGUGAAGAAGGACUUCGGGUUGUAAAGCCAUGUUGUUGGGAAAGAAAAGCAGCAGGUUAAUACCCCGCUGUUCUGACGGUACCCAAAGAAUAAGCACCGGCUAACUUCGUG
RNAcentral lists this ribosomal RNA (492 nucleotides) under uncultured bacterium. RNAcentral describes it as "partial 16S ribosomal RNA". It matches the Rfam family "Bacterial small subunit ribosomal RNA", at positions 29 to 507 of the family's 1533-position model. The record is from RNAcentral.